CCAAGGAGUCUAACAUGUGCGCGAGUCAUUGGGAACGUAUGAAACCUAAAGGCGCAAUGAAAGUGAAGGUCGGCCUUUGUGCCGACCGAGGGAGGAUGGGUCGCGUCAAGAUGCGGCCCCGCACUCCCGGGGCGUCUCGUUCUCAUUGCGAGAAGAGGCGCACCCAGAGCGUACACGUUGGGACCCGAAAGAUGGUGAACUAUGCCUGGUCAGGACGAAGUCAGGGGAAACCCUGAUGGAGGUCCGUAGCGAUUCUGACGUGCAAAUCGAUCGUCGGAACUGGGUAUAGGGGCGAAAGACUAAUCGAACCAUCUAGUAGCUGGUUCCCUCCGAAGUUUCCCUCAGGAUAGCUGGCACUCGGGAUUCUUAUUUUGAACGCGAGUCUCAUCCGGUAAAGCGAAUGAUUAGAGGCCUUGGGGCCGAAACGACCUCAACCUAUUCUCAAACUUUAAAUGGGUGAGAUCUCUGGCUUGCUUGAACGUUGAAGCCAUGAGAUUUCGGAUCAGAGUGCCAAGUGGGCCACUUUU
RNAcentral lists this ribosomal RNA (527 nucleotides) under Megalodontes cephalotes. RNAcentral describes it as "eukaryotic LSU rRNA". It matches the Rfam family "Eukaryotic large subunit ribosomal RNA", at positions 666 to 1138 of the family's 3401-position model. The record is from RNAcentral. Lineage: Eukaryota; Metazoa; Arthropoda; Insecta; Hymenoptera; Megalodontesidae.